AUACACCAGGUCCAAAACUUGCCUUGCUCUGCCGGGCAGUACACACGUCCCGUUUCCUCCUCACCUCUUACUCAUGCACGAGGAGAUUAAGUUCAAAGGGUACCUAACUUUCUCAGAGUGACUUGUCAGACAUAAUGGUGCUGGGAAAUGGUACAGUACUGAGUCCAAAGCUAUAGACAUCCAAUGUUUGGGUGGGAUCUGAAUGUGUCACUGAUGGCCACGGGCCCCUGGCAGCCAGUUCGGGGCUGGUGUCAUUUAUCUGUUCUGGAGAUACACUCUGAAGUCAGAGAUGGUGCUCAGUUGAUCUUUGGGGGAAAAAAAUUCCCAUAUCAGGCAAAAGCUCCAUCUGAUGACAUUUAGAGCAAAGGGCAAGAGCGCUAAGCAAGCUCUGUGGUUAUUUCUCCAUUCUGUGAAGGCUUACUGAGCCCAGAGUGCGACAGGCAUGGCUCUCAGCACAGUGAGAUCACAGGUUCAUGAGGCUCAGUCCCUGCUCUGAGGAUCUGUGACCUGCCAAGGGGCAACUGCUGCCAUGGAUCAGAUGUCUACCCCCUACUGGGCAUCUCUCACAAGCCACCUGCAGUCUUUCCAAGGGGUUGCCGUGUAAGUCUUUGUGUUCCCAUCCCGAGGAUGGGGAUCUGAGGCUCGAACAGCCCUCCGCAAGCCAACAAGAAAAACCGAGAUUGGAAAGCAAGUCCCACCCCAAACUUGUGUGCCUUUCCAGGUGUCACUGGGUCAGAUCCACCUGAAGCCUAACCUGACUGAGUAGGGAGUGUCGCACAGGUGUUCCUCUUGUAUUCUCCACUCCCUCUACAUGAAGGGAGUUUGGGUUUGCUGUAGGCACUCAGAGAACCGCAUCGUGUAUUGUCAGUUCUGUAACAGAAACUCCAUCAUCCUUCCAUGAUGCCAACCAAGUGGUCAAUCUCUAGAAAUCUGAGGUCUGCAUACUGGAAUUCCAGUUCAGUUGGCUGUGACAAGCACUCUUGCCUCCACAGUAAGUACUGACCCUCCCUGGGCCUUCAUGAUUCCCACUUUACAAACGGUGCAUCUGAAGCUGUCACGAAUUGCUCAAGGUCACUCAUGUUAUAUAAGUGAAGGAGGUUCAAGAUUCAAAAUCCAAAACACUCUGUGUAGCAUCGUUUUAAGUGACAUGUCCAAGUUUUCCGUAUAUUUUCAAGGAUAUGUCCAAGUCUAG
RNAcentral lists this long non-coding RNA (1192 nucleotides) under Marmota monax (woodchuck). The record is from RNAcentral. Lineage: Eukaryota; Metazoa; Chordata; Mammalia; Rodentia; Sciuridae.